This 292-nucleotide long non-coding RNA is filed under the name Phaseolus vulgaris (common bean). RNAcentral describes it as "long non-coding RNA (PVUL_LNC003524)". Lineage: Eukaryota; Viridiplantae; Streptophyta; Magnoliopsida; Fabales; Fabaceae. The record is from RNAcentral.
UAAUAACUUCUCUUUGAAUCUCAUAAUAUUUAUAUCUCUGCUUCAGUUACGUAAAUUUGUAACUAGUUUUUUAUUGGAUUGGAAAAUGUCUUUCUAAAAACAAAUGUAUUUACUUGCUUGGCAGGAAUGUAAUUGUUAGAAUUUAAUUAUUCAAUUCUUUAUCCUUUCUAAUAGUAGCACCAAAAAAGUACUUCCAUUAAUUAUAUGUAUAUAUCUCGUACUUGUAUUUCUCUCCCUCAGCAAUGAUUGGUUUUCAUCAAUUUAAUUGGCAUUGAUUAUAUCCUAAUGCUCC